RNAcentral lists this ribosomal RNA (1000 nucleotides) under Micromonospora aurantiaca (nom. illeg.). RNAcentral describes it as "bacterial SSU rRNA". It matches the Rfam family "Bacterial small subunit ribosomal RNA", at positions 34 to 1054 of the family's 1533-position model. Lineage: Bacteria; Bacillati; Actinomycetota; Actinomycetes; Micromonosporales; Micromonosporaceae. The record is from RNAcentral.
CGGGGCGAUGCCGCGUCUUACCAUGCAGUCGAGCGGAAGGCCCUUCGGGGUACUCGAGCGGCGAACGGGUGAGUAACACGUGAGCAACCUGCCCCAGGCUUUGGGAUAACCCCGGGAAACCGGGGCUAAUACCGAAUAUGACCUCUGACCGCAUGGUUGGUGGUGGAAAGUUUUUCGGCUUGGGAUGGGCUCGCGGCCUAUCAGCUUGUUGGUGGGGUGAUGGCCUACCAAGGCGACGACGGGUAGCCGGCCUGAGAGGGCGACCGGCCACACUGGGACUGAGACACGGCCCAGACUCCUACGGGAGGCAGCAGUGGGGAAUAUUGCACAAUGGGCGGAAGCCUGAUGCAGCGACGCCGCGUGAGGGAUGACGGCCUUCGGGUUGUAAACCUCUUUCAGCAGGGACGAAGCGUAAGUGACGGUACCUGCAGAAGAAGCGCCGGCCAACUACGUGCCAGCAGCCGCGGUAAGACGUAGGGCGCGAGCGUUGUCCGGAUUUAUUGGGCGUAAAGAGCUCGUAGGCGGCUUGUCGCGUCGACCGUGAAAACUUGGGGCUCAACCCCAAGCCUGCGGUCGAUACGGGCAGGCUAGAGUUCGGUAGGGGAGACUGGAAUUCCUGGUGUAGCGGUGAAAUGCGCAGAUAUCAGGAGGAACACCGGUGGCGAAGGCGGGUCUCUGGGCCGAUACUGACGCUGAGGAGCGAAAGCGUGGGGAGCGAACAGGAUUAGAUACCCUGGUAGUCCACGCUGUAAACGUUGGGCGCUAGGUGUGGGGGGCCUCUCCGGUUCCCUGUGCCGCAGCUAACGCAUUAAGCGCCCCGCCUGGGGAGUACGGCCGCAAGGCUAAACUCAAAGGAAUUGACGGGGGCCCGCACAAGCGGCGGAGCAUGCGGAUUAUUUCGAUUGCAACGCGAAGAACCUUACCUGGGUUUGACAUGCCGCAAAACUGUCAGAGAUGGCAAGGUCCUUCGGGGCGCUCACAGGUGGCAGCAUGACUGUCG